CAGUCGCCACGGGAAUACGAAGGGUGCAAGCGUUACUCGGAAUUACUGGGCGUAAAGCGUGCGUAGGUGGUGGUUUAAGUCCGUUGUGAAAGCCCUGGCUCAACCUGGGAAUUGCAGUGGAUACUGGGUCACUAGAGUGUGGUAGAGGAUAGUGGAAUUUCCGGUGUAGCAGUGAAAUGCGUAGAGAUCGGAAGGAACAUCUGUGGCGAAGGCGACUAUCUGGGCCAACACUGACACUGAGGCACGAAAGCGUGUGGAGCAAACAGGAUUAGAUACCCGUGUAGUCCCUGUCUCUUAUACA
Molecule: ribosomal RNA, 301 nt
Filed under: uncultured bacterium
Lineage: Bacteria
Description: partial 16S ribosomal RNA
Rfam family: Bacterial small subunit ribosomal RNA
Source: RNAcentral